RNAcentral lists this ribosomal RNA (468 nucleotides) under uncultured bacterium. RNAcentral describes it as "partial 16S ribosomal RNA". It matches the Rfam family "Bacterial small subunit ribosomal RNA", at positions 28 to 507 of the family's 1533-position model. The record is from RNAcentral.
GAUGAACGCUGGCGGCGUGCUUAACACAUGCAAGUCGAACGGAAAGGCCCUGCUUUUGUGGGGUGCUCGAGUGGCGAACGGGUGAGUAACACGUGAGUAACCUGCCCUUGACUUUGGGAUAACUUCAGGAAACUGGGGCUAAUACCGGAUAGGAGCUCCUGCUGCAUGGUGGGGGUUGGAAAGUUUCUGCGGUUGGGGAUGGACUCGCGGCUUAUCAGCUUGUUGGUGGGGUAGUGGCUUACCAAGGCUUUGACGGGUAGCCGGCCUGAGAGGGUGACCGGCCACAUUGGGACUGAGAUACGGCCCAGACUCCUACGGGAGGCAGCAGUGGGGAAUAUUGCACAAUGGGCGGAAGCCUGAUGCAGCAACGCCGCGUGCGGGAUGACGGCCUUCGGGUUGUAAACCGCUUUCGCCUGUGACGAAGCGUGAGUGACGGUAAUGGGUAAAGAAGCACCGGCUAACUACGUG